This 253-nucleotide ribosomal RNA is filed under the name uncultured bacterium. RNAcentral's name for it is "partial 16S ribosomal RNA". It matches the Rfam family "Bacterial small subunit ribosomal RNA", at positions 524 to 776 of the family's 1533-position model. The record is from RNAcentral.
UACGGAGGGAGCUAGCGUUGUUCGGAAUUACUGGUCGUAAAGCGCACGUAGGCGGCUUUGUAAGUUAGAGGUGAAAGCCCGGGGCUCAACUCCGGAAUUGCCUUUAAGACUGCAUCGCUUGAAUCCGGGAGAGGUGAGUGGAAUUCCGAGUGUAGAGGUGAAAUUCGUAGAUAUUCGGAAGAACACCAGUGGCGAAGGCGGCUCACUGGACCGGUAUUGACGCUGAGGUGCGAAAGCGUGGGGAGCAAACAGG